This 253-nucleotide ribosomal RNA is filed under the name uncultured bacterium. RNAcentral's name for it is "partial 16S ribosomal RNA". It matches the Rfam family "Bacterial small subunit ribosomal RNA", at positions 524 to 776 of the family's 1533-position model. The record is from RNAcentral.
UACGAAGGGGGCUAGCGUUGUUCGGAAUCACUGGGCGUAAAGCGCACGCAGGCGGAUUGAUAAGUCAGGGGUGAAAUCCCGGAGCUCAACUUCGGAAUUGCCUUUGAUACUGUCUGUCUUGAGUCCGGGAGAGGUGAGUGGAAUUCCUAGUGUAGAGGUGAAAUUCGUAGAUAUUCGGCGGAACACCAGUGGCGAAGGCGACUCACUGGCCCGAUACUGACGCUGAGGCGCGAAAGCGUGGGGAGCAAACAGG